This 428-nucleotide ribosomal RNA is filed under the name uncultured bacterium. RNAcentral describes it as "bacterial SSU rRNA". It matches the Rfam family "Bacterial small subunit ribosomal RNA", at positions 355 to 775 of the family's 1533-position model. The record is from RNAcentral.
UGGGGAAUUUUGGACAAUGGGCGCAAGCCUGAUCCAGCCAUUCCGCGUGCAGGAUGAAGGCCCUCGGGUUGUAAACUGCUUUUGUACGGAACGAAACGCGCUGAGUUAAUACCUCGGCGUAAUGACGGUACCGUAAGAAUAAGCACCGGCUAACUACGUGCCAGCAGCCGCGGUAAUACGUAGGGUGCGAGCGUUAAUCGGAAUUACUGGGCGUAAAGCGUGCGCAGGCGGUUAUGUAAGACAGAUGUGAAAUCCCCGGGCUUAACCUGGGAACUGCAUUUGUGACUGCAUAGCUAGAGUACGGUAGAGGGGGAUGGAAUUCCGCGUGUAGCAGUGAAAUGCGUAGAUAUGCGGAGGAACACCGAUGGCGAAGGCAAUCCCCUGGACCUGUACUGACGCUCAUGCACGAAAGCGUGGGGAGCAAACAG